AACGAACGCUGGCGGCAUGCCUAACACAUGCAAGUCGAACGAGACCUUCGGGUCUAGUGGCGCACGGGUGCGUAACGCGUGGGAAUCUGCCCUUGGGUUCGGAAUAACUCAGAGAAAUUUGAGCUAAUACCGGAUGAUGACGAAAGUCCAAAGAUUUAUCGCCCAGGGAUGAGCCCGCGUAAGAUUAGCUUGUUGGUGGGGUAAUGGCCUACCAAGGCGACGAUCUUUAGCUGGUCUGAGAGGAUGAUCAGCCACACUGGGACUGAGACACGGCCCAGACUCCUACGGGAGGCAGCAGUGGGGAAUAUUGGACAAUGGGCGCAAGCCUGAUCCAGCAAUGCCGCGUGAGUGAUGAAGGCCUUAGGGUUGUAAAGCUCUUUUACCAGGGAUGAUAAUGACAGUACCUGGAGAAUAAAGCUCCGGCUAACUCCGUG
RNAcentral lists this ribosomal RNA (434 nucleotides) under uncultured bacterium. Its description in RNAcentral is "bacterial SSU rRNA". It matches the Rfam family "Bacterial small subunit ribosomal RNA", at positions 29 to 507 of the family's 1533-position model. The record is from RNAcentral.